Molecule: unclassified non-coding RNA, 18 nt
Filed under: Mus musculus (house mouse)
Lineage: Eukaryota; Metazoa; Chordata; Mammalia; Rodentia; Muridae
Description: oocyte_clustered_small_RNA11597
Source: RNAcentral
AGUCUCUCCCAAGCUUUC